UAGAUUAAAGCCCGUCGGUUUGGGUGACUAGCUGUUAAUUAGUUUUUUGUAGGAUCGAGGCCUACUAGUCUAG
Molecule: transfer RNA, 73 nt
Filed under: Daboia russelii (Russell's viper)
Lineage: Eukaryota; Metazoa; Chordata; Lepidosauria; Squamata; Viperidae
Description: tRNA-Asn
Source: RNAcentral